AUUGAACGCUGGCGGCAGGCCUAACACAUGCAAGUCGAACGAGUGGCGGACGGGUGAGUAAUGUCUGGGAAACUGCCUGAUGGAGGGGGAUAACUACUGGAAAAGGUAGCUAAUACCGCAUACUAUCAGAUGUGCCCAGAUGGGAUUAGCUAGUUGGUGGGGUAACGGCUCACCAAGGCGACGAUCCCUAUCUGGUCUGUGAGGAUGACCAGCCACACUGGUACUGGGACACGGUCCAGACUCCUUCGGGAGGAAGCAGUGGGGAAUUUUGCACACUGGGCGCAAGCCUGCUGCAGCCAUUCCGCGUGUAUGAAGAAGGCCUUCGGGUUGUAAAGUACUUUCAGCGGGGAGGCGUUACCCGCAGAAGAAGCACCGGCUCACUCCAUGCCAGCAGCCGCGGUAAUUC
RNAcentral lists this ribosomal RNA (406 nucleotides) under uncultured bacterium. RNAcentral's name for it is "partial 16S ribosomal RNA". It matches the Rfam family "Bacterial small subunit ribosomal RNA", at positions 30 to 526 of the family's 1533-position model. The record is from RNAcentral.